RNAcentral lists this ribosomal RNA (253 nucleotides) under uncultured bacterium. RNAcentral describes it as "partial 16S ribosomal RNA". It matches the Rfam family "Bacterial small subunit ribosomal RNA", at positions 524 to 776 of the family's 1533-position model. The record is from RNAcentral.
UACGGAGGGUGCAAGCGUUAAUCGGAAUUACUGGGCGUAGAGCGCACGCAGGUGGCUGAGUCAGUCGAUUGUGAAAGCCCUGGGCUUAACCUGGGAAUUGCAGUCGAUACUACUCAGCUAGAGUAUGGGAGAGGGUAGUGGAAUUCCCGGUGUAGCGGUGAAAUGCGUAGAUAUCGGGAGGAACAUCAGUGGCGAAGGCGGCUACCUGGCCCAAUACUGACACUCACGUGCGACAGCGUGGGGAGCAAACAGG